GGAGCUCGAGCUCUUGGGACUGCCAGGCUCCCCAGAGUAGCAGAUGAACAUGAACAUGAACACGAACAUGAUAUAGGAACAACUAACUUCUUUCUUGCUUUCCCAAAUGAUCUGCUCUUGGUAUGUAUAGGGCCAAUCAAGAUUACAAAGGUAUAUUCUUUCUUGCUUUCCCAAAUGAUCUGCUCUUGGUAUGUAUAGGGCCAAUCAAGAUUACAAAGGCAUAUGUCGUUUUUCCAAUAUAAAUGAAAAUUUGGGAAUUUUUUUUAUUUUCUUUAAUUUUAGUAGAAUCGUACAAUGAAUCGAUGCCUAAUUUACCUAUGACUGAACAAAAAGAGAUCACAUGUAAUAAAUGCACAUAAUAUAAAAAACAUUCUAAAGGAAUCUACUUCAUUCCUACUUUAAAUUAUAGCCUAAUUGAUCAUACCACCCAAUGAGUCGAUCUUUUUAAAAGAACUACUAAUCAGAUUCACCAAAUUUGCACAAAUUGACACAUAAUAGCAGGAUCAACAAUGAGCAAAUACCAAUCCACCUCCACCAUGUGAUUCCAUACCAUCCGACAAUGAGUGAAAGACAAUAAGAAUAUUGACCUGCCCCUACUGUUGCACCCAUCAAUCUUCCCUUCGUCGAUUCACCUUCCACCAGAUCCUAGACAGGCUCCAGCAAUCUUCCCUUCCCUCAGCAGCCAUCCUUGAUCCCCUCCUCUCUACUGCUGAGAUCUGAGAAGAACUCAGGAACCCUAACAACACCACGUGAGAUGAAACUCAGGACAAGGAGGGGGGAGGGAGGAGGAGGAGGAGGAGAGGAGUGUCAGGAACAAUUGCAUUUCCUCUUUCAGUUCAUCAGUUAAGCAAGAUAGAGCAAUUCAGCACCCUUCAAAAUGGUCCAGUGACUUCAGCGAUGCCAUCUGUCAGCCACCUGACACUCGUCAUCGAUUCACGCAGCUACACUAUGUUCUUACCCCUUUUCAGACAUGUAAUAGUAAAUGCCUGCUGUAAACAAGCUUUUACUUUACUUCUUGAGCCUGUUAUUUAUCUUGGGGGACAUCAUCUAUAAGGGUUACCGAAGGAGAUGAACUCGUAAACCUAGGUUA
RNAcentral lists this long non-coding RNA (1090 nucleotides) under Setaria viridis. RNAcentral's name for it is "long non-coding RNA (SVIR_LNC009593)". Lineage: Eukaryota; Viridiplantae; Streptophyta; Magnoliopsida; Poales; Poaceae. The record is from RNAcentral.